CCCUUAGAUGUCCUGGGCUGCACGCGCGCUACACUGACACAUGCAGCGAGUGUCCCUGGUCCGGUGGGAUCGGGUACUCUUUUUAACGUGUGUCGUGAUGGGGAUAGAUUAUUGCAAUUAUUAAUCUUCAACGAGGAAUUCCUAGUAAGUGCAGGUCAUCAGCUUGCGCUGAUUACGUCCCUGCCCUUUGUACACACCGCCCGUCGCUCCUACCGAUUGAAUGUUCCGGUGAAUAAUUCGGACUGCGGUUGUGGGGUCUGUACCACCACGACUGUGGGAAGUUUAGUGAACCUUAACAUUUAGAGGAAGGAGAAGUCGUAACA
RNAcentral lists this ribosomal RNA (323 nucleotides) under uncultured eukaryote. RNAcentral describes it as "partial 18S ribosomal RNA". It matches the Rfam family "Eukaryotic small subunit ribosomal RNA", at positions 1470 to 1796 of the family's 1831-position model. The record is from RNAcentral.